GCUGGUUCUGAGGACAGGAGGGGGAGACAGAGACGCAGACGGAGCUUCCAAGCCGAGACUGCAUAGUGCCCCUUGAGUAGGCUACAGUGAAUGCAGACUACACCACAACUAAAUAUUCGGCCCACAGAUCCAGAAACCAACCAGUUUCUUCUGUCCUGGAAUAACCGAACUGGGUUAAGUUGGACCAGAAAUCCCUUCUCUGUUCUCCUGGGCCCCAGACAGCAGUGACCCAGUGCAUGUCAGAAUAUCCUGGGAGCUACAGGGUUCCACAGCUCAGA
This is a long non-coding RNA of Micropterus salmoides (largemouth bass), 278 nucleotides long. RefSeq lists it as uncharacterized. Lineage: Eukaryota; Metazoa; Chordata; Actinopteri; Centrarchiformes; Centrarchidae. The transcript is spliced from 4 exons. The record is from RefSeq and is a predicted model, not a curated record.